RNAcentral lists this ribosomal RNA (438 nucleotides) under uncultured bacterium. RNAcentral describes it as "partial 16S ribosomal RNA". It matches the Rfam family "Bacterial small subunit ribosomal RNA", at positions 338 to 795 of the family's 1533-position model. The record is from RNAcentral.
CCUAGGGUGGCAGCAGUGGGGGAUAUUACACAAUGGGGGGAACCCUGAUGCAGCGACGCCGCGUGGGUGAAGAAGCGCCUCGGCGCGUAAAGCCCUGUCAGCAGGGAAGAAAAUGACGGUACCUGGGGAGGAAGCUCCGGCUAACUACGUGCCAGCAGCCGCGGUAAUACGUAGGGAGCAAGCGUUGUCCGGAAUUACUGGGUGUAAAGGGAGCGUAGGCGGGGAUGCAAGUUGGGUGUCAAAACUAUCGGCUCAACCGAUAGUCGCACUCAAAACUGCAGCUCUUGAGUGAAGUAGAGGCAGGCGGAAUUCCUAGUGUAGCGGUGAAAUGCGUAGAUAUUAGGAGGAACACCAGUGGCGAAGGCGGCCUGCUGGGCUUUUACUGACGCUGAGGCUCGAAAGUGUGGGGAGCAAACAGGAUUAGAUACCCGUGUAGUC